GACGAACGCUGGCGGCGUGCUUAACACAUGCAAGUCGAACGGAAAGGCCCUGCUUUUGUGGGGUGCUCGAGUGGCGAACGGGUGAGUAACACGUGAGUAACCUGCCCUUGACUUUGGGAUAACUUCAGGAAACUGGGGCUAAUACCGGAUAGGAGCUCCUGCUGCAUGGUGGGGGUUGGAAAGUUUCGGCGGUUGGGGAUGGACUCGCGGCUUAUCAGCUUGUUGGUGGGGUAGUGGCUUACCAAGGCUUUGACGGGUAGCCGGCCUGAGAGGGUGACCGGCCACGUUGGGACUGGGAUGCGACCCAGACUCCUACGGGAGGCAGCAGUGGGGAAUAGUACACAAUGGGCUGAAGCCUAAUGCAGCAACGCCGCGUGCGGGGUGACGGCAUUCUGGUUGUAAACCGCAUUCGCCUGUGACGAAGCGUGAGUGACGGUAAUGGGUAAAGAAGCACCGGCUAACUACGUG
This 468-nucleotide ribosomal RNA is filed under the name uncultured bacterium. RNAcentral's name for it is "partial 16S ribosomal RNA". It matches the Rfam family "Bacterial small subunit ribosomal RNA", at positions 28 to 507 of the family's 1533-position model. The record is from RNAcentral.